CCUACGGGAGGCAGCAGUAAGGAAUAUUGGUCAAUGGACGAAAGUCUGAACCAGCCAUGCCGCGUGAAGGAUGAAGGCCCUCUGGGUUGUAAACUUCUUUUAUCUGGGACGAAAAAAGGGUAUUCUUACCCACUUGACGGUACCAGAGGAAUAAGCACCGGCUAACUCCGUGCCAGCAGCCGCGGUAAUACGGAGGGUGCAAGCGUUAUCCGGAUUCACUGGGUUUAAAGGGAGCGUAGGUGGGCUGAUAAGUCAGUGGUGAAAUCUCCGGGCUUAACCCGGAAACUGCCAUUGAUACUAUUAGUCUUGAAUUAUCUGGAGGUAAGCGGAAUAUGUCAUGUAGCGGUGAAAUGCUUAGAUAUGACAUAGAACACCAAUUGCGAAGGCAGCUUGCUACGGAUUGAUUGACACUGAGGCUCGAAAGCGUGGGGAUCAAACAGGAUUAGAUACCCUGGUAGUCCACGCCCUAAACCGAUGGAUACUCGACAUCAGCGAUACACUGUUGGUGUCUGAGCGAAAGCAUUAAGUAUCCCACCUGGAAGUACGACCGCAAGUUGAACUUAAAUGAAUUGACGG
RNAcentral lists this ribosomal RNA (576 nucleotides) under uncultured bacterium. RNAcentral's name for it is "bacterial SSU rRNA". It matches the Rfam family "Bacterial small subunit ribosomal RNA", at positions 338 to 916 of the family's 1533-position model. The record is from RNAcentral.